AUACUUGCCUGGCAGGGGCAAUAGCAUGACUACAAAGGCGAUUCUCCCAGGGGGAGAGUUCUCCAUUGCACUCUGGUGUGCUGAUCCCUGAGAUUUCCCAAAACAUGGAAAACUCGACUUCAGAGUCUGUGGUGGGGACUGUGCUCGCACCCUCUCCUG
Microtus oregoni (creeping vole) is the source of this 159-nucleotide small nuclear RNA. RefSeq annotates it as U1 spliceosomal RNA. NCBI's taxonomy places the organism in Eukaryota, Metazoa, Chordata, Mammalia, Rodentia, Cricetidae. The transcript has a single exon. The record is from RefSeq and is a predicted model, not a curated record.